AAAGGUGAAAUUGAUUUGUUAUUUUAUAAUAAGUUAUUAAAAUUGAAGCCAACAAAUUUUAGCUAUAGACUAGGAUUAGAUACCCUAUUAUUCUAAAUUCAAAGUGAGCAAAUUAAAUAUAUAGUAGAUAAUUUCUUUAAAAUUAAAAAAUUUGGCGGUUAUUUAGUCUUUUCAGAGGAAUUUGUUUUAUAAUCGAUAAACCACGUAAUAUCUUACUUAAGUUUGUAUACCGUCAUUAUCAGAUAAUUCUUAGAAGAAUAAUUAUUAUAAUUGAAAUAAUUAAAUAAAUUAGAUCAUGGUACAGCUUAUAAAUAAGUAAAAAUGAGUUACAAUAAAUUAUUUUAUAUGGAAUAAUAGUUAUAAAAGAGGAUUUGAUUGUAUUAUUUUUUUUAAUAAGUAGAUAAUAUAUUAGCUCUAAAUUAUGUACAUAUCGCCCGUCGCUUUC
Molecule: ribosomal RNA, 445 nt
Filed under: Dacryomaia sp. LMT-2014
Lineage: Eukaryota; Metazoa; Arthropoda; Malacostraca; Decapoda; Cryptochiridae
Description: partial 12S small subunit ribosomal RNA
Source: RNAcentral